This 420-nucleotide ribosomal RNA is filed under the name uncultured bacterium. RNAcentral's name for it is "bacterial SSU rRNA". It matches the Rfam family "Bacterial small subunit ribosomal RNA", at positions 97 to 518 of the family's 1533-position model. The record is from RNAcentral.
GGCGAACGGGUGAGUAACACGUGGGCAACUGCCCUCAGCUCUGGGAUAACUCCAAGAAAUUGGUGCUAAUACCGGAUGUGACCGCUGACCGCAUGGUCUGGUGGUGGAAAGAUUCAUCGGCUGGGGAUGGGCCCGCGGCCUAUCAGCUUGUUGGUCGGGGUCACGGCCCACCAGGGCGACGACGGGUAGCCGGCCUGAGAGGGUGACCGGCCACACUGGGACUGAGACACGGCCAGACUCCUACGGGAGGCAGCAGUGGGGAAUAUUGCGCAAUGGGGCGAAAGCCUGACGCAGCGAACGCCGCGUGAGAGGGAUGACGGCCUUCGGGUUGUAAACCUCUUACAAGUCAGGGGACGAAGCGACACAAGUGACGGUAACCUACAGGAAGAAGCACCGGACAAAUACGUGGCCAGCCGCCGC